UCAGGCCUAACACAUGCAAGUCGAGCGGUAACAGGGGGUGCUUGCACUCCGCUGACGGCGGCGGACGGGUGAGUAAUGCUUAGGAAUCUGCCCAGUAGUGGGGGAUAGCCCGGGGAAACCCGGAUUAAUACCGCAUACGUCCUACGGGAGAAAGCAGGGGAUCUUCGGACCUUGCGCUACUGGAUGAGCCUAAGUCGGAUUAGCUAGUUGGUGGGGUAAAGGCCUACCAAGGCGACGAUCCGUAGCUGGUCUGAGAGGAUGAUCAGCCACAUCGGGACUGAGACACGGCCCGAACUCCUACGGGAGGCAGCAGUGGGGAAUAUUGGACAAUGGGGGCAACCCUGAUCCAGCCAUGCCGCGUGUGUGAAGAAGGCUUUCGGGUUGUAAAGCACUUUCAGCGAGGAGGAAGGCUNUGAAGUUAAUNCCUNCAGGGAUGACGUU
Molecule: ribosomal RNA, 441 nt
Filed under: uncultured bacterium
Lineage: Bacteria
Description: bacterial SSU rRNA
Rfam family: Bacterial small subunit ribosomal RNA
Source: RNAcentral